AAUUGUGUUGCUUCGGUAGAAACGCACCGAAGUGCUUCUCAAUCAAAGCUUCGAUAUGGCAUUAUCAAAGCUUCGAUAUUUAAUAGUCAUCCUCGUCAUAUAUUGUCUCCUAGUUGUUUCUCAAUCAAAAGAUAUUGUAAGAGAGAUCAAUGCUAUACAUCCUCAAUAUUGCAACUAUAGAGGUCCUUGUAAAACCCAUAGAGAUUGUAAGAGACCAUGUGGACCUCCCGACUUCCCACCGGCGACUAUUGGUUUAUGCCAACCCACUCCUUGGGGUCAUGGCAAACUUUGUUGUUGUGCCAAAGAUUAAUUUAUUCAUUUAUUCUCUCAUUGUAACCUUCUUUACUUUUAAAUAACUAUUUCAUAUGGUAUUAAAGAAAUUGAUUUUGGAUUUAACAAAAAAAAAGCAUGUUUUUGGUUGUA
Molecule: long non-coding RNA, 423 nt
Organism: Capsella rubella
Lineage: Eukaryota; Viridiplantae; Streptophyta; Magnoliopsida; Brassicales; Brassicaceae
Exons: 2
Source: RefSeq, a predicted model, not a curated record